Molecule: long non-coding RNA, 2090 nt
Organism: Panicum virgatum (switchgrass)
Lineage: Eukaryota; Viridiplantae; Streptophyta; Magnoliopsida; Poales; Poaceae
Exons: 2
Source: RefSeq, a predicted model, not a curated record
CAAAAAAACCUCCUACCAGAUGAUCGAUGCAUCAUGAAGUCUUGUUAAAAAUUUGGCGACUCUUCAUACAAGGAAAAAAAAAUCCUACAUGUAUUAAAAAGUAUUGUAGGGGGCGAGAAGAAAGAGCGACAUGGUGUGAAGGAAUCAUAUAGAAAAACAGAGUGCAAGCAUCUUGUUCGGGCAUCUCCUUGUCUCUUCGUUGGAGCCUUGGAAAAGCUUCCCCAGCCUCAAGUGCUUCUUCUAUCUAUCCAUCCACUGCAUGCAUAUAUACAAACCUUUGCCCAACUGAUGGAAACUUGGAAAGGCAGGCAUCUGGUUGUUCGUCAGGCUUGUUGCCAGUUUAACGGCACCAAGCAGUGCUCCAUAUCCUACUGAAGGUGUGGAGCACUUCAAAACAACAAAGAGUAGGGCUGAAAUGGGUCAUAGGAAGAGCAAUCACCACAAAGGAAGGGGCGAGGAACCGUACGAGAAGCAAAACCGGUGCCUGGUUCGAUCCUGCUGCCCCUGCUACGUGCUCGGCUCCGUCGUCAGAGGGAUUGGGAGGUGCCUCUUCGUGGCCUGCUACCCAAUGAUACAAUGCUGUGGCCUCGACGAAUGCAGGCACCACCACACCAGCCACCUCAGCCACUUCAGAUGAUGCAUACAUCCAUCAAGUACAUCUACUACUUCUACUUGGUCAUUUGUUCUUAUUUCCCCUUUGUUUUUUUCACCGAAAUUAGGGAUAUUAGCAAUUAAUCAAGCCAUGUUCCCAAGAAGAACUGUCGGUAUCUUAUACGAGUCCGUGUUGUUCUUCAUCCUUUUUCAGUAGUUUUCAGUAGAGAAGAAGAACUUGCCUUCAUUGUCCCAGCAUUUGAUAGAAGAGUAAUCCUGAAGAAAAUCGCCUGCUAAACCACUAUAGGUCUCCUGAAAGUUAUUCAUUAUUAAAGUGGUCGAUGCCAGUGUUUUCUGGUUGUUUGUUCUCUAAUGUGUCUGUCAGAAAAGUAGUUUCUUCCAAUUGAUGUUUUAGUGUCCCCUUAAUUUCUGGACUUGUUUACAUUUUUGUCUCUUGAUGCACUUGCUGGAGUAUCAAAUAGGAUUAGUUGUAAUGGUUUCUUUAGCUUAAAAAAAACAUGUCCUAGUCAACAAAAGUUCAUGCCUUGUGCAGUUGAGGAAUGUUGAGUACCUUUUCCUGGCUGUGAUGAGUGAAUUGUCAACCGUGCGGUGUGAUCGUGUGCUUUGUCUUUGGUUGCAGGUACACGGGCGUCGAGUGUCGAUGGAGAGCUGCCGUGGAGGUGCUGUGGCCGAUGAACCGUGCGGUGGAUGGCGGUGAAGGGCAGACGGGGCCGGAGCUCGGGCCGGGCGGCAGCUGUGGCGUCCACCCCUGGAUCGAUGGAGCAAGCACCGAUGGAUGGCGGGUUUCUUGGUUUGCGCCACAAAACCAAGUUGGCGGACAACGCUUGAAGACGCCAAGUCGUGGAGGCACGGGCGUCGGUCUCGGGACUGGCGGAGGAACGGGCGUCGACGGCGUCUAGGGCCUCGCUGCGGGCGAGGAGGUGACGGGCGUCGGGCGGCGUCUAGGGCCGUCAGAAGGCCGAGGCGGGAACGGCGUCCAGGGCCACGGCGUGGAGGCGGGAAUCUUCCCGCGCGUAGAGUUUUGGUGGUUUUAUCAAAACCGGCCACCUACCCGGGUUUCGCGGACCCUCCAAAACCGCAGACCGGAUCUUCAUCCCCACGGCGGCAUCGCGGAGAAGAUUUCGACUCGAAGAAAGAACCUUGAUCGUCGGAUGAGUCCUUGUAUCUCUUUCCGGUUUUGCCCCUACGGGCUUUCUAGUGUCUAGUUAAGUCUAAUGGUAGUUUAGUCUUUUAGUACUAGAGUUAGUGGGCUUAAAUAUCUCUCACCCACUCUCUCCUCUCUCUCUCUCCCAGUCCAGCCGCCUGCCCCUUACUCCCGUCGCCCACUCUCCCUCUCUUUGUUCCUCCCUCUUCCUCUCUCUCGGGUAGAAUUUCAUCCAUGGAUUCUUGAGACUUUGUACCAAGAUUGAUCGGGAAAGGAGGCCCUCUUCUCCUUGUGCCCUCGGGCUUUUGAAUUUGAAUCAAUCUUGAACUUUGAA